GAUGAACGCUGGCGGCGUGCUUAACACAUGCAAGUCGAACGGAAAGGCCCAAGCUUGCUUGGGUACUCGAGUGGCGAACGGGUGAGUAACACGUGGGUGAUCUGCCCUGCACUUCGGGAUAAGCCUGGGAAACUGGGUCUAAUACCGGAUAGGACCACUUCUUGGAUGUUGUGGUGGAAAGUUUUUUCGGUGUGGGAUGAGCUCGCGGCCUAUCAGCUUGUUGGUGGGGUAAUGGCCUACCAAGGCGUCGACGGGUAGCCGGCCUGAGAGGGUGUACGGCCACAUUGGGACUGAGAUACGGCCCAUACUCCUACGGGAGGCAGCAGUGGGGAAUAUUGCACAAUGGGCGCAAGCCUGAUGCAGCGACGCCGCGUGGGGGAGGACGGCCUUCGGGUUGUAAACUCCUUUCGCUAGGGACGAAGCGUUUUGUGACGGUACCUGGAGAAGAAGCACCGGCUAACUACGUG
This 467-nucleotide ribosomal RNA is filed under the name uncultured bacterium. Its description in RNAcentral is "partial 16S ribosomal RNA". It matches the Rfam family "Bacterial small subunit ribosomal RNA", at positions 28 to 507 of the family's 1533-position model. The record is from RNAcentral.